UACGAAGGGGGCUAGCGUUGCUCGGAAUCAUUGGGCGUAAAGCGCACGUAGGCGGUUCGUUAUGUCGGAUGUGAAAGCCCUUGGCUUAACCGAGGAAGUGCAUCCGAAACUGGCGAGCUAGAGUACGAAAGAGGAUCGCGGAAUUCCCGGUGUAGAGGUGGAAAUUCGUAGAUAGUCGGGAGGAACACCGGGUGGCGAAGGCGGCGAUCUGGGUCGAUACUGACGCGUGAGGUGCGAAAGCGUGGGGAGCAAACAGG
This 257-nucleotide ribosomal RNA is filed under the name uncultured bacterium. RNAcentral's name for it is "partial 16S ribosomal RNA". It matches the Rfam family "Bacterial small subunit ribosomal RNA", at positions 524 to 776 of the family's 1533-position model. The record is from RNAcentral.